RNAcentral lists this ribosomal RNA (699 nucleotides) under uncultured bacterium. RNAcentral's name for it is "bacterial SSU rRNA". It matches the Rfam family "Bacterial small subunit ribosomal RNA", at positions 8 to 689 of the family's 1533-position model. The record is from RNAcentral.
AGAGUUUGAUCCUGGCUCAGAGCGAACGCUGGCGGUAUGCUUAACACAUGCAAGUCGAGCGAGAAAAUGGCUUCGGCCAUGAGUACAGCGGCGGACGGGUGAGUAAUACAUGGAUAAUCUGCCUUUAGGACUGGGACAACCCUGGGAAACUAGGGCUAAUACCGGAUAAGACCACAGAAUCUGCGGAUUCAGUGGUAAAAGGUGGCUUUCGGGCUAUCACCUAGAGAUGAGUCCAUGUCCCAUCAGGUUGUUGGUGAGGUAACGGCCCACCAAGCCUAAGACGGGUAGCCGGCCUUAGCGGGUGAUCGGCCACACGGGGACUGAGACACGGCCCCGACUCCUACGGGAGGCAGCAGUGGGGAAUAUUGGACAAUGGGCGCAAGCCUGAUCCAGCAAUACCGCGUGAGGGAUGAAGGCCCUAGGGUCGUAAACCUCUGUCAGUUGGAACGAUGGGUUUGUAGGUUAAUACCCUGCAAACUUGACGGUACCUUUCAAGGAAGCCCCGGCUAACUCCGUGCCAGCAGCCGCGGUAAUACGGAGGGGGCAAGCGUUGCUCGGAAUUACUGGGCGUAAAGGUCCGCAAGUGGGCUUGUAAGUUAGAUGUGGAAUCUCAAGGGCUCACCCUGAAACUGCAUCUAAUACUGCAAAGCUUGAGUACAGGAGAGGUUGGCGGGAUUCCCCGUGUAACGGUGAAAAUGC